This 459-nucleotide ribosomal RNA is filed under the name uncultured bacterium. RNAcentral's name for it is "partial 16S ribosomal RNA". It matches the Rfam family "Bacterial small subunit ribosomal RNA", at positions 338 to 795 of the family's 1533-position model. The record is from RNAcentral.
CCUACGGGCGGCAGCAGUGAGGAAUAUUGGUCAAUGGUCGGGAGACUGAACCAGCCAAGCCGCGUGAGGGAGGAAGGUACAGAGUAUCGUAAACCUCUUUUGUCAGGGAACAAAGACUGGGACGCGUCCCCGGAUGAGUGUACCUGAAGAAAAAGCAUCGGCUAACUCCGUGCCAGCAGCCGCGGUAAUACGGAGGAUGCGAGCGUUAUCCGGAUUUAUUGGGUUUAAAGGGUGCGUAGGCGGAACAUUAAGUCAGCGGUAAAAUCGAGGGGCUCAACCCCUUUAAGCCGUUGAAACUGGUGAUCUUGAGUGGGCGAGAAGUAUGCGGAAUGCGUGGUGUAGCGGUGAAAUGCAUAGAUAUCACGCAGAACUCCGAUUGCGAAGGCAGCAUACCGGCGCCCGACUGACGCUGAGGCACGAAAGCGUGGGGAUCGAACAGGAUUAGAUACCCGUGUAGUC